GCAAGUCGAACGGUAAAAGGAAUUAGCUUGCUAAUAUGCUGACGAGUGGCGCACGGGUGCGUAACGCGUAUACAAUCUACCUUUUACAGGGGGAUAGCCCAGAGAAAUUUGGAUUAAUAUCCCAUAGUAUUAUUUAUUGGCAUCGAUUAAUAAUUAAAGCUUCGGCGGUAAAAGAUGAGUAUGCGUUCUAUUAGCUAGUAGGUGUGGUAACGGCACACCUAGGCGACGAUAGAUAGGGGCCCUGAGAGGGGGAUC
RNAcentral lists this ribosomal RNA (255 nucleotides) under uncultured bacterium. RNAcentral's name for it is "partial 16S ribosomal RNA". It matches the Rfam family "Bacterial small subunit ribosomal RNA", at positions 57 to 305 of the family's 1533-position model. The record is from RNAcentral.